CCAAGACAACUUUACGGAGUUGACGAUUGACGGAGCGAAGCGACGUCAAAGCGUUCAUUAAAGUCGAGUUGGCUUAGGGAUACGUUCGUUGGGUAGGGGAGCGUUCUGUAAGCCUGUGAAGGUGUGUCGUGAGGCAUGCUGGAGGUAUCAGAAGUGCGAAUGCUGACAUAAGUAACGAUAAAGCGGGUGAAAAGCCCGCUCGCCGGAAGACCAAGGGUUCCUGUCCAACGUUAAUCGGGGCAGGGUGAGUCGACCCCUAAGGCGAGGCCGAAAGGCGUAGUCGAUGGGAAACGGGUUAAUAUUCCCGUACUUGGUGUUACUGCGAAGGGGGGACGGAGAAGGCUAUGUUGGCCGGGCGACGGUUGUCCCGGUUUAAGCGUGUAGGUGUGUGUUCCAGGUAAAUCCGGUUCACUUUAACACUGAGGCGUGACGACGAGGCACUACGGUGCUGAAGCAACAAAUGCCCUGCUUCCAGGAAAAGCCUCUAAGCAUCAGGUAACACGAAAUCGUACCCCAAA
This 518-nucleotide ribosomal RNA is filed under the name Salmonella enterica. Its description in RNAcentral is "partial 23S ribosomal RNA". It matches the Rfam family "Bacterial large subunit ribosomal RNA", at positions 1162 to 1653 of the family's 2925-position model. Lineage: Bacteria; Pseudomonadati; Pseudomonadota; Gammaproteobacteria; Enterobacterales; Enterobacteriaceae. The record is from RNAcentral.